This 64-nucleotide transfer RNA is filed under the name Heterometrus longimanus. Its description in RNAcentral is "tRNA-Ala". The record is from RNAcentral. Lineage: Eukaryota; Metazoa; Arthropoda; Arachnida; Scorpiones; Scorpionidae.
UAGGUUUAUAUUUUAUAUAAAAUAUUUAGUUUGCAUCUAAAAGAAAUCGGUUGAAUUUACCUAG